GAAGGUGAGUCCCUACGCCUUUCUUAUUUAGAUAAUUAUGCUGCCUUAAAGGAUGAAAACAGGUCCCUAAGGGAACAAGUAGAUAGGGUAUCAGAUGAGAAUACCCAUCUAAGGGAGGAGUUGGAUAAGGUGCUUGGGAAGUUGAAAGAGGUUGAGCAACAAGUCUCCCUUGUUGCCAUUGCUAUAGUACAAGGAGGAGGGGCUAAUGCUUCGGGGGCUACCAUGGCUAUGCCCUCCCGUGUGGAAGUCCCUAAGCCUAGUAGCUUCAAAGGCUCUAGGGAUGCUAAGGAGAUAGACAACUUCCUUUGGAAUAUGGAGCAAUACUUCAGGGCGCUGGGCAUCACUGAUGAUGCCAGGAAGAUCGACCAUGCGCCCCUGUAUCUGGCGGACACCGCUACGGUGUGGUGGAGAAGAAGGCAAGCUGACAGGGAGAAAGGCUUGUGCAUCAUCAACACAUGGGAAGACUUCAAGAAGGAGCUGAAACGCCAAUUCUACCCAGAGAAUGUUGCUAAGGAGACUCGGGCUAGACUUCGGCGCUUGUCUCAGAAAGGGAGCAUAAGAGACUAUGUCAAAGAGUUUUCAGAGACACUCCUGGAGAUUCCAGAUUAUCCAGAUCAAGAGGCCUUCUAUACCUUCCUUGAUGGUUUACAGCACUGGGCCAAGAUGGAAGUGGAGAGGCGAGGAGCCGACAACCUUGCUUCAGCCAUUGCUAUAGCUGAGUCCUUGACAGAGUACAAGAGGAAUGACAAGGACAAGGAGAAGAACAAGGGCAGGGGCAAGCCAUACAAGGAAAAGAGUGGGGGAGACUCCUCACACAACUCUCGCCCCACACACAACAAGGAAGGAGGGUCCAAGAAGUUCAAAGAGCACAAGAAGCAGGAGGGACCUUCUAAAGGCCAACACUUCAGGAGGCAUGGAGACAGGCCACCAAUUAAAUGCUUCCUAUGUGAGGGACCACACCGAGCUUGGGACUGUCCAAAGAAGGCUGGACUGACCGCACUAGUGGAGCAAGCAAGUGCCAGUCCUCAACCAAAGGAAGGUGCCAGCAUGGGAUCGCUACAGCUUGCAGCAAUUCAAGCAAAGCCGAAGGAGGCCACAAAGGAGAAGAUGGGACGCCUCUUCGUGCAAGCAUCUCUUGGAGGGAAAGAGGUAAGAGCUCUAGUCGAUACUGGUGCUUCUGACAAUUUUCUUAAGUUUGAGGAAGCGCAGCGGUUGGGGAUCCGCUACACACCAGAAAUGGGUUGGCUUAAAGCUGUCAACUCCAACCCAAGUCCAAUCCAUGGAGUAGCUCGUGAUGUGCCGGUUAAACUAGGUGAGUGGCACGGCAACUUGGACUUUUCUAUUGUCUCUAUGGAUGAUUAUUCUUGUGUUCUUGGUGUGGCUUUCAUGGAUAAAGUCAAGGCUAUCCCUAUCCCCUUUGCAAAUAGUAUGUGCAUCUUAAAUGAGGGAGGCACUUGUACUGUCCCGCUAUCGAGGGGAAAAGCGGGGAAUGCCACCCUUUCAGCUAUGCAGAUUGCAAAAGGGAUCAGGCAUGAUGAGCCUACUUACUUGGUGGCUUUGAAACAUGAUGAGGAGCCGCCAAAGCCUAUCUUACCAAAGGAGAUUGAAGCUGUCUUGGAUGAAUUCCAUGAUGUUAUGCCACAAGAGUUGCCAAGAAGACUUCCUCCAAAAAGGGAAGUUGAUCACCAUAUCGAACUAGAGCCUGGAGCUAAACCCCCUUCGGGUGUUCCUUAUCGAAUGGCUCCACCCGAGCUAGAGGAGCUGAGGAAGCAAUUGAGGGAGCUUCUUGAUGCAGGCUUUAUUCAACCCUCAAAAGCCCCAUAUGGUGCGCCGGUUCUCUUUCAGAAGAAGAAGGAUGGUUCUCUUCGGAUGUGCAUUGAUUACCGGGCCUUAAAUAAGGUAACGGUAAAGAACAAAUAUCCCAUCCCACUUAUUGCUGAUCUGUUUGAUCGACUGGGGGAGGCACGGUGGUUCUCUAAAUUGGAUCUUCGGUCGGGUUAUUAUCAAGUCAGAAUUGCUGAAGGAGAUGAACCGAAGACCACUUGCGUCACUAGGUAUGGUUCUUAUGAAUUCUUGGUGAUGCCUUUUGGUUUAACUAAUGCACCUGCUACUUUCUGUACUUUGAUGAACAAGGUCUUCCAUGAGUUCUUGGAUCGUUUUGUUGUGGUUUAUCUUGAUGAUAUAGUAGUAUAUAGCAAGACGCUCCAGGAGCAUAUGGAGCAUUUGAAGCAGGUAUUCCAGGUGCUUCGGGAGAACCAGCUGUAUGUUAAAAGGGAGAAGUGCACAUUUGCUCAGCAGGAGGUGCCUUUCCUUGGUCAUAUUAUCGGGCAUGGCAGGAUUCGCAUGGAUGAGUCUAAAGUGAAGGCCAUUGCUGAAUGGGAACCUCCUAAAAAGGUACCCGAAUUGCGGUCUUUCCUUGGUUUGGCUAACUAUUACCGCAAGUUCAUCAAGGGUUAUUCCUCUAUUGCAACACCCUUGACGGAUCUUCUGAAGAAGGAGAGGCCCUGGGAUUGGGAUUCUCGGUGUCAAAGGGCCUUUGAUGCUUUGAAGAAGGCCAUUAUGGAGGAGCCAGUUCUUGCACUUCCGGAUCACUCCAAGGAGUUUGAAGUGCACACCGACGCAUCUGAUUUUGCUAUAGGGGGAGUUCUCAUGCAGGAAAGACACCCCAUCGCUUAUGAAAGCCGCAAGUUGAAUGAGACAGAGCGGCGUUAUACUGUGCAGGAGAAGGAGAUGACUGCAGUGGUCCAUUGCCUGAGGACAUGGAGGCAUUAUCUGUUGGGGUCUAAGUUCGUGGUGAAGACAGAUAAUGUGGCCACUAGUUACUUCUUGACUCAGAAGAAGUUGUCUCCUAAGCAGGCCCGAUGGCAGGUUUUCUUGGCAGAUUUCGACUUCACCAUGGAGUAUAAGCCAGGGCGUGCUAAUCUUGUGGCUGAUGCUUUGAGUCGCAAAGCAGAGUUGGCAGCCACGUCCCAGCCUAAUCUAGCACUUCUUGAUCGCAUCAGAGAGGGGAUGCAGCAAGACCCUCAAGCUAAAUGUCUCAUGGAGAUGAUCAGCCAGGGGAAGACUCGGAGAUUCUGGCUGGAUGGUGGUCUAGUACGCACCAAGAGGGGGAGUGUGUACAUCCCUAAAUGGGGAAGCUUGAGGAGGGAGGUCUUGAAGGAGUGCCAUGAUUCUUUAUGGGCUGGACAUCCUGGUGCUAGGCGCACUAUGGCACUAGUGGAACGUGCCUACUAUUGGCCGCGGAUGGUGGAUGACAUAGAGCUGUAUGUGAAGACUUGUCUUGUCUGCCAGCAGGACAAGGGAGAGCAGCGAAAGCCUGGAGGAUUGCUUGAACCAUUGCCCACUCCAGAGAGGCCAUGGGAGAGUGUGUCUAUGGACUUCAUUAUUGGCCUACCUACUGUGGAAGGGUGCGGCAAUAUCAUGGUGAUUGUUGAUCGGUUCAGCAAAUAUGGGGUCUUUGUCCCAGUCCCGAAGAGGUUUGAUGCAAGGGACGCAGCCAGGCUAUUCUUCAAGCAUGUGGUCAAGUACUGGGGAGUGCCUUGUUCUAUAGUCAGUGAUCGAGACACCAGGUUUGUUGGGAGAUUCUGGACUGAACUCUUUAAAAUGCUUGGCACUGAGCUCCAGUUUUCUACUAGCUUCCAUCCGCAGACUGAUGGCCAGACAGAGAGGAUUAAUGCGCUGUUGGAGCUAUACUUGAGGCAUUAUGUGACAGCUAACCAGCGGAACUGGGUUGAAUUGCUGGAUGCAGCGCAGUUCUCUUAUAAUUUGCAGAGGAGCGAAGCCACGGGAGCUACACCAUUUGAGUUAGCCACUGGACAGCAGCCAUUGGCUCCCCACACUAUUGGGACGCCUUAUCAAGGUAAGAGUCCAGGAGCCUUCAGAUUUGCUAAGGGCUGGAAGGAGAAACUUGACGAGGCACGGGCAUCUUUGGCUAAAGCAGCAAAGAAAAUGAAGAAAUGGGCUGAUGUGAAGAGGCGGCAUGUGGAGUUCCAAGAGGGAGAUCUUGUGAUGGUCAAGAUCAUUGCUCACACGGUUCGCAACUAUCACAAGGUGCAUAAGGGCUUGCUUCGCAAGUAUGAGGGACCAUUCCCUAUUGAGAAGAGGGUUGGCAAGCAGGCCUAUAGAGUAAAGCUGCCUGCUCACUUGGAGGUGCAUCCAGUAUUCCACGUGAGCCUGCUAAAGCCCUACCAUCCUGAUAAGGAGGACCCGAGCCGCAACCAGUCAAAGAGGGCCCCUACAGCAGUCACAACCACCUUUGAGCGGGACGUUGAGGAGAUACUUGCUCACAGGGAGGUACCGCAGAGAGGCAUUCAUCCUGGGUAUAAGGAGUACUUGGUGAAGUGGAAAGAUGCCUCAGAUGAUGAAGCUAGCUGGGAGCAUGAGCUGUCCCUUUGGCAACAUGAAGACAAGGUGCUAGCUUACUGGCAAGACGCGACGAGGGCGUCGCGGGGAUGAGUGGGGGAGAAUGUGACACCCUCACAGUUGAGCUCCCAAAAGUCCAAUUUUUUUUCCGCGAGGUUAUCCGUAGAGUGAGGUUCGACGGGUGUAAAUCCUUGUGGGGCAAGAGGGAGGUACGUGUUGAUGGCAGGCAACACGGGCGGAAAUGGAAUUUUUAGCCAAACAGGCCUACCGGGCGAGCUGGGGAGCAACUGGGUGCUGUUGGAGCAAAUGAGGUUAAGUCUGCGAGCCAGGGCCCAAAAUGAGGUUCACUGCUGGCAUCGGGCGUGCUGGGCCGAGGGGCGCCCCAAAACGAGGUUCAGGAGGCCUA
This 4768-nucleotide unclassified non-coding RNA is filed under the name Hevea brasiliensis (rubber tree). Lineage: Eukaryota; Viridiplantae; Streptophyta; Magnoliopsida; Malpighiales; Euphorbiaceae. The record is from RNAcentral.